Oncorhynchus gorbuscha (pink salmon) is the source of this 536-nucleotide long non-coding RNA. RefSeq lists it as uncharacterized. The record is from RefSeq and is a predicted model, not a curated record. The transcript is spliced from 3 exons. Lineage: Eukaryota; Metazoa; Chordata; Actinopteri; Salmoniformes; Salmonidae.
UCUCGCUCCUGGGACUAGAUAAAAAAAACAAACAUUUAACGGACCUUGAUCACGAACAAACCUUUACAAUGAGUUAUUGACUCUUUUAGUCACAAUUCACCGAACUCCAUGAACGAAAUAUAUGCAAAUUAACGUUCUUUAAUUUUUUUGAAUUUCCUUUUUGACUGUUGGAGUUGGUUGGGGAAAUGUGUGUCGGUUGUUUUUACUUCAUGUAACGUGGAUGUUACCUGUGUCCGUGGCUGUGGCUGGAGGAUGAGCGCCGGCGUGGGGGUGACAGGGGACGCGACAGGAACUCAUAAUAUGCAGUCAAGCCUGUAGGGUAGACCAGGCUGGGCCCCCUGAUGAGUUGAGUCCCCCUCCCCCACCCCUCCUCUCCCAGCGUAGCCAGGUGGGAUGUUCCAGAUGUGUGUCCUCUUAUCUCUGCUCACCCUCUCUGGCUACACCCAGGUCUCCUCAGCUAAAUCUCUGAAGCUCCUGAUGGAACAAUGGACGAGCUACAAGAGCCAGUGUUCUCAGAGCAUCGUCGCCACGCCUCC